UGCUAUGUAUUUGGUUUUGUUCCAUCUUU
This 29-nucleotide non-coding RNA is filed under the name Mus musculus (house mouse). The record is from RNAcentral. Lineage: Eukaryota; Metazoa; Chordata; Mammalia; Rodentia; Muridae.